UAGUGGCGAACGGGUGAGUAACGCGUGAGCAAUCUGCCCUUGGGAGGGGGAUAACGUCGGGAAACUGACGCUAAUACCGCAUAACGCACAGAGGGGACAUCCCCCCUGUGCCAAAGGAGAAAUCCACCCAGGGAUGAGCUCGCGUCUGAUUAGCUAGUUGGUGAGGUAAUGGCUCACCAAGGCGACGAUCAGUAGCCGGACUGAGAGGUCGAACGGCCACAUUGGGACUGAGACACGGCCCAGACUCCUACGGGAGGCAGCAAUGGGGAAUAUUGCGCAAUGGGGGAAACCCUGACGCAGCAACGCCGCGUGAAGAAUGAAGGCCUUCGGGUUGUAAACUUUUGUCUUCAGGGAAGAAAAAAAUGACGGUACCUGAAAAGGAAGCCACGGCUAACUACGUGCCAGCAGCCGCGGUAAUACGUAGGUGGCAAGCGUUGUCCGGAAUUACUGGGUGUAAAGGGUGCGUAGGCGGGUGACCAAGUCAGGUGUGAAAUGCCGCAGCUUAACUGCGGAGCUGCACUUGAAACUGGACAUCUUGAGUGGAGUAGAGGCAAGCGGAAUUCCCAGUGUAGCGGUGAAAUGCGUAGAUAUUGGGAGGAACACCAGUGGCGAAAGGCGGCUUGCUGGGCUCUAACUGACGCUGAGGCACGAAAGUGUGGGGAGCAAACAGGAUUAGAUACCCUGGUAGUCCACACUGUAAACGAUGAUACUAGGGUUGGGGGGGGGGUAUUGACCCCUCCGUGCGGAGUACACAUAGUAUCCCACUGGGGGAGUACGGCCGCAAGUGAACUCAAAGG
Molecule: ribosomal RNA, 797 nt
Filed under: uncultured Oscillospiraceae bacterium
Lineage: Bacteria; Bacillati; Bacillota; Clostridia; Eubacteriales; Oscillospiraceae
Description: bacterial SSU rRNA
Rfam family: Bacterial small subunit ribosomal RNA
Source: RNAcentral